AGACAGUUAAAAAGUCAUCGGAAAUUGCCAGACAUAAAAGUAUGUUAAAAAAAUUCAUUGUCGUGAAGUUCACAAAGAGCCAUGGCCAACACCCCUCGUCUUUUGUUGGUUAAUCAUUUAAUCAUAUGGAUUCUAAGGGACGAUGGUAUUGACAAAUAAGUUAACAAGUAGAGGAUUUGUUUUUUCUUUUACUUGACAUUAUGGAACCAAUAUGAAAUGUUCAUACCUCUGAGUCGUUGAUCUGUACAAGCUAAAAGAAUUGUCAUGUGUGAGUGAUCUCUCAGGUGUUAUUUUCACAACUGCACUUUGUAGAGUGUACAAGCAAGCAUAGAUGAAAGGAUGUCAAAAAUAGAUCAUGUGGGAGUGUAGGUAACAGCAAGAAUGGGAAAAAAGUGCAUUAUUUUAGAUUGCAAUGGAUCGAGGGAAAAGGUUGCACCAGUUUGGAGAGAAAAUUCAGAAUUUAAAAUCAUUGUUGAUGCUUUAGUAGCUCGGCCAAAUGACAAACUUGUUCAUUUGAGUCUCUGAUCUGGUUGUGUUUUUAUUUUGAAUGAGGGUUGUACUUGUUCGUUUGAAACAUGUACUUUAGUUUUAAUAAUCAAUGAUCAGAUUUAUAAAUAUUUGUUGA
Molecule: non-coding RNA, 625 nt
Organism: Camelina sativa (false flax)
Lineage: Eukaryota; Viridiplantae; Streptophyta; Magnoliopsida; Brassicales; Brassicaceae
Source: RefSeq, a predicted model, not a curated record